GUGCUUGCUUUGGCAGCACAUAUACUAAAAUUGGAACAAUACAAGAAAGAUUAGCAUGGCCCCUGUGCAAGGAUGACACUGAAAUUUGAGGCGUUCCAUUAUUUU
This 105-nucleotide small nuclear RNA is filed under the name Microcebus murinus (gray mouse lemur). The record is from RNAcentral. Lineage: Eukaryota; Metazoa; Chordata; Mammalia; Primates; Cheirogaleidae.